This 1024-nucleotide ribosomal RNA is filed under the name fungal sp. Its description in RNAcentral is "SSU rRNA". It matches the Rfam family "Eukaryotic small subunit ribosomal RNA", at positions 72 to 1104 of the family's 1831-position model. Lineage: Eukaryota; Fungi. The record is from RNAcentral.
CACUAUACUGUGAAACUGCGAAUGGCUCAUUAAAUCAGUUAUCGUUUAUUUGAUAGUACCUUACUACAUGGAUAACCGUGGUAAUUCUAGAGCUAAUACAUGCUAAAAACCUCGACUUCGGAAGGGGUGUAUUUAUUAGAUAAAAAACCAAUGCCCUUCGGGGCUCCCUGGUGAUUCAUAAUAACUUAACGAAUCGCAUGGCCUUGUGCCGGCGAUGGUUCAUUCAAAUUUCUGCCCUAUCAACUUUCGAUGGUAGGAUAGUGGCCUACCAUGGUUUCAACGGGUAACGGGGAAUUAGGGUUCUAUUCCGGAGAAGGAGCCUGAGAAACGGCUACUACAUCCAAGGAAGGCAGCAGGCGCGCAAAUUACCCAAUCCCGACACGGGGAGGUAGUGACAAUAAAUACUGAUACAGGGCUCUUUUGAGUCUUGUAAUUGGAAUGAGUACAAUUUAAAUACCUUAACGAGGAACAAUUGGAGGGCAAGUCUGGUGCCAGCAGCCGCGGUAAUUCCAGCUCCAAUAGCGUAUAUUAAAGUUGUUGCAGUUAAAAAGCUCGUAGUUGAACCUUGGGCCUGGUUGGCCGGUCCGCCUCACCGCGUGCACUGGUCCGACCGGGUCUUUCCUUCUGGGGAGCCGCAUGCCCUUCACUGGGUGUGUCGGGGAACCAGGACUUUUACUUUGAAAAAAUUAGAGUGUUCAAAGCAGGCCUAUGCUCGAAUACAUUAGCAUGGAAUAAUAGAAUAGGACGUGUGGUUCUAUUUUGUUGGUUUCUAGGACCGCCGUAAUGAUUAAUAGGGAUAGUCGGGGGCAUCAGUAUUCAAUUGUCAGAGGUGAAAUUCUUGGAUUUAUUGAAGACUAACUACUGCGAAAGCAUUUGCCAAGGAUGUUUUCAUUAAUCAGUGAACGAAAGUUAGGGGAUCGAAGACGAUCAGAUACCGUCGUAGUCUUAACCAUAAACUAUGCCGACUAGGGAUCGGGCGAUGUUAUCUUUUUGACUCGCUCGGCACCUCACGAGAAAUCAAAGU